UGAGAAUGAUCUGGCUGUGAAAUCUCUCAUGCCAUUGAUCAUCAGGAUUCAUCUAGCUGAUCUGGCUGGCUAGGUAGGNACUCUUUCCACUCA
Molecule: small nuclear RNA, 93 nt
Filed under: Neotoma lepida (desert woodrat)
Lineage: Eukaryota; Metazoa; Chordata; Mammalia; Rodentia; Cricetidae
Description: 7SK RNA
Rfam family: 7SK RNA
About the family: 7SK was discovered as an abundant small nuclear RNA in the mid-70s but a possible function has only recently been suggested. Two independent studies have found that 7SK RNA binds the CDK9/cyclin T complex (known as elongation factor P-TEFb).
Source: Rfam by way of RNAcentral